GACGAACCUGACGAACGUUAUUCGGAAUCACUGGGCUUAAAGGGUGCGUAGGCUGUGCAGAAAGUUGGGUGUGAAAUCCCUCGGCUUAACCGAGGAACUGCGCCCAAAACUACUGUGCUUGAGUGAGAUAGAGGUGAGCGGAACUUAGGGUGGAGCGGUGAAAUGCGUUGAUAUCCUAAGGAACACCGGUGGCGAAAGCGGCUCACUGGGUCUCAACUGACGCUGAUGCACGAAAGCUAGGGUAGCGAAC
Molecule: ribosomal RNA, 250 nt
Filed under: uncultured bacterium
Lineage: Bacteria
Description: partial 16S ribosomal RNA
Rfam family: Bacterial small subunit ribosomal RNA
Source: RNAcentral